This 613-nucleotide ribosomal RNA is filed under the name uncultured bacterium. RNAcentral describes it as "bacterial SSU rRNA". It matches the Rfam family "Bacterial small subunit ribosomal RNA", at positions 20 to 639 of the family's 1533-position model. The record is from RNAcentral.
UGGCUCAGGAUGAACGCUAGCGGCAGGCCUAAUACAUGCAAGUCGAACGGUGAUAGCAAUAUCAUAGUGGCGCACGGGUGCGUAACACGUAUGCAACCUACCUUAUACUGAGGGAUAGCCUUUCGAAAGGGAGAUUAAUACCUCAUAACACAUUGAACUGGCAUCAGUUUAUUGUUAAAGAUUUAUUGGUAUAAGAUGGGCAUGCGUCCAAUUAGUUAGUUGGCGAGGUAACGGCUCACCAAGACGAUGAUUGGUAGGGAAACUGAGAGGUUAAUCCCCCACACUGGCACCGAGAUACGGGCCAGACUCCUACGGGAGGCAGCAGUAGGGAAUAUUGGGCAAUGGAGGCAACUCUGACCCAGCCAUGCCGCGUGCAGGAAGAAGGCGUUAUGCGUUGUAAACUGCUUUUAUAUAGGAAGAAAUAGACCUCGCGAGGUAAGUUGACGGUACUAUAUGAAUAAGCACCGGCUAACUCCGUGCCAGCAGCCGCGGUAAAUACGGAGGGUGCAAGCGUUGUCCGGAUUUAUUGGGUUUUACAGGGUGCGUANGCGGUUUAUUAAGUCAGUGGUGAAAGACGGUCGCNUCACGGUUGCAGUGCCAUUGAUACUGGUAG